Molecule: non-coding RNA, 134 nt
Organism: Triticum aestivum (bread wheat)
Lineage: Eukaryota; Viridiplantae; Streptophyta; Magnoliopsida; Poales; Poaceae
Source: Rfam
CAUGUACUCCCUCCGUCCCAAAAUUCUUGUCUUAGGAUUGUGUAAAACGGAUGUAUUUAGUUAAGUUUUAGUGUUAGAUACAUCCGUAUCUAGAAAAAUCUGAGACAAGAAUUUUGGGGCGGAGGGAGUAUAUA